RNAcentral lists this ribosomal RNA (749 nucleotides) under Laparocerus bacalladoi. RNAcentral's name for it is "eukaryotic LSU rRNA". It matches the Rfam family "Eukaryotic large subunit ribosomal RNA", at positions 402 to 914 of the family's 3401-position model. Lineage: Eukaryota; Metazoa; Arthropoda; Insecta; Coleoptera; Curculionidae. The record is from RNAcentral.
AAACCGUUUAGGGGUAAACCUGAGAAACCCGAAAGGUCGAAGGGAGAAAUUCAUUCGCGUUUCGCCGUUGGCGUGAGACGGUCGUGUGACGGAAAACGUUCGCGUUUUCCGCGCCUUUCGUUUUUCGAUCCGAUAGCGAACGCGUGCACUUUUCUCCUGGUAGGACGUCGCGAUCCGUUGGGUGUCGGUCUACGGCUCGCGGUGGAGCCCGGAUGUACGGCUUGCCGUCACGUCCGGACCCGCGUGUCCCGGCUGACUCGCUCGACGGUAUACGAAAGGUUUAAGGCCGCUCUUAGAGCGUUCGGCUCGUCGCAAGCGCGUCAGAUGUGUGUCGGUGAUCGGACCUAGUGCCGGUUCUGACCUCUGGCGACUGUUGGCGGCGAAGUUCUCGAACAGACCUUUUUGACCGAUCUGCGACGCUAUAGCUUUGGGUACUUUCAGGACCCGUCUUGAAACACGGACCAAGGAGUCUAGCAUGUGCGCGAGUCAUUGGGAAUCACUAAACCUAAAGGCGCAAUGAAAGUAAAGGUCCGCCUUGCGCGGACUUAGGGAAGACGAGCGGUUUACCCUUAAAAGUGACCGCUCCGCAUUCCCGGGGCGUCUCAUUCUCAUCGCGAGAAGAGGCGCACCAAGAGCGUACACGCUGGGACCCGAAAGAUGGUGAACUAUGCCUGGUCAGGACGAAGUCAGGGGAAACCCUGAUGGAGGUCCGUAGCGAUUCUGACGUGCAAAUCGAUCGUCGGAACUGG